This 264-nucleotide ribosomal RNA is filed under the name uncultured bacterium. Its description in RNAcentral is "partial 16S ribosomal RNA". It matches the Rfam family "Bacterial small subunit ribosomal RNA", at positions 793 to 1055 of the family's 1533-position model. The record is from RNAcentral.
GUCCACGCCGUAAACUAUGAGAGCUAGCCGUUGGAGAGUUUACUCUUCAGUGGCGCAGCUAACGCAUUAAGCUCUCCGCCUGGGGAGUACGGUCGCAAGAUUGAAACUCAAAGGAAUUGACGGGGCCCGCACAAGCGGUGGAUGAUGUGGAUUAAUUCGAUGCAACGCGAAGAACCUUACCUGCUCUUGACAUGCCAGGAACUUUCCAGAGAUGGAUUGGUGCCCCGAAAGGGAACCUGGACACAGGUGCUGCAUGGCUGUCGU